RNAcentral lists this ribosomal RNA (980 nucleotides) under Salmonella enterica subsp. enterica serovar Infantis. RNAcentral's name for it is "partial 23S ribosomal RNA". It matches the Rfam family "Bacterial large subunit ribosomal RNA", at positions 329 to 1211 of the family's 2925-position model. Lineage: Bacteria; Pseudomonadati; Pseudomonadota; Gammaproteobacteria; Enterobacterales; Enterobacteriaceae. The record is from RNAcentral.
UUAGUGGAAGCGUCUGGAAAGGCGCGCGAUACAGGGUGACAGCCCCGUACACAAAAGCGCAUGUGCUGUGAGCUCGAUGAGUAGGGCGGGACACGUGGUAUCCUGUCUGAAUAUGGGGGGACCAUCCUCCAAGGCUAAAUACUCCUGACUGACCGAUAGUGAACCAGUACCGUGAGGGAAAGGCGAAAAGAACCCCGGCGAGGGGAGUGAAAAAGAACCUGAAACCGUGUACGUACAAGCAGUGGGAGCCCCACCACCAAAGCAUUCUCUGGUGUUGAAGGCCCUGCAAAGCAGCAUCGCGGUGGCGGAGCGUCGUUUGCGACGCCCAACACACAAAACAAGCGGUGAGUGCUUUGGGGUGGGGUGACUGCGUACCUUUUGUAUAAUGGGUCAGCGACUUAUAUUCUGUAGCAAGGUUAACCGAAUAGGGGAGCCGGAGGGAAACCGAGUCUUAAUUGGGCGUUAAGUUGCAGGGUAUAGACCCGAAACCCGGUGAUCUAGCCAUGGGCAGGUUGAAGGUUGGGUAACACUAACUGGAGGACCGAACCGACUAAUGUUGAAAAAUUAGCGGAUGACCUGUGGCUGGGGGUGAAAGGCCAAUCAAACCGGGAGAUAGCUGGUUCUCCCCGAAAGCUAUUUAGGUAGCGCCUCGUGAAUUCAUCUCCGGGGGUAGAGCACUGUUUCGGCUAGGGGGCCAUCCCGGCUUACCAACCCGAUGCAAACUGCGAAUACCGGAGAAUGUUAUCACGGGAGACACACGGCGGGUGCUAACGUCCGUCGUGAAGAGGGAAACAACCCAGACCGCCAGCUAAGGUCCCAAAGUCAUGGUUAAGUGGGAAACGAUGUGGGAAGGCCCAGACAGCCAGGAUGUUGGCUUAGAAGCAGCCAUCAUUUAAAGAAAGCGUAAUAGCUCACUGGUCGAGUCGGCCUGCGCGGAAGAUGUAACGGGGCUAAACCAUGCACCGAAGCUGCGGCAGCGA